UACAGAGGUCCCAAGCGUUGUUCGGAUUCACUGGGCGUAAAGGGUGCGUAGGUGGCAGUGUAAGUCUGAUGUGAAAGCUUCGAGCUUAACUCGAAAAUGGCAUUGGAUACUAUAUUGCUGGAGGUUUGGAGGGGGGACUGGAAUUCUCGGUGUAGCAGUGAAAUGCGUAGAUAUCGAGAGGAACACCGGUGGCGAAGGCGAGUCCCUGGACAACACCUGACACUGAGGCACGAAAGCUAGGGGAGCAAACGGG
This 253-nucleotide ribosomal RNA is filed under the name uncultured bacterium. RNAcentral describes it as "partial 16S ribosomal RNA". It matches the Rfam family "Bacterial small subunit ribosomal RNA", at positions 524 to 776 of the family's 1533-position model. The record is from RNAcentral.